GAUGAAGAACGCAGCGAAAUGCGAUAAGUAAUGUGAAUUGCAGAAUUCAGUGAAUCAUCGAGUCUUUGAACGCACAUUGCGCCCCCUGGUAUUCCGGGGGGCAUGCCUGUCCGAGCGUCAUUGCUGCCCUCAAGCACGGCUUGUGUGUUGGGCCCCCGUCCCCGGUUUCCCCCGGGGACGGGCCCGAAAGGCAGCGGCGGCACCGCGUCCGGUCCUCGAGCGUAUGGGGCUUUGUCACCCGCUCUGUAGGCCCGGCCGGCGCCAGCCGACACCCAACUUUAUUUCUAAGGUUGACCUCGGAUCAGGUAGGGAUACCCGCUGAACUUAAGCAUAUCAAUAAGGGAGGA
RNAcentral lists this unclassified non-coding RNA (347 nucleotides) under soil metagenome. RNAcentral describes it as "partial contains 5.8S ribosomal RNA, internal transcribed spacer 2, and large subunit ribosomal RNA". The stretch from base 1 to 120 matches the Rfam family "5.8S ribosomal RNA", at positions 35 to 154 of the family's 154-position model. The record is from RNAcentral.